Molecule: ribosomal RNA, 445 nt
Filed under: uncultured bacterium
Lineage: Bacteria
Description: partial 16S ribosomal RNA
Rfam family: Bacterial small subunit ribosomal RNA
Source: RNAcentral
AUGAACGCUGGCGGUGUGCCUUAAGCAUGCAAGUCGAACGGAGAGAUGUUCCACACUGUGUGGGAUGUCAAUCAGUGGCGGACGGGUGAGUAUAAGCAGGGAACGUACCUUGAACUAUCGCAUAGCUCGUCGAAAGACGGGGUAAUACGGUAUGUGAUCGCAAGAUUAAAGUCGUAAGACGGUUCUAGAGCGGCCCUGUUCCCAUCAGCUAGUUGGUAGGGUAAUGGCCUACCAAGGCGACGACGGGUAGGGGGUGUGAGAGCACGACCCCCCACAAUGGCACUGAGACACGGGCCAUACAUCUACGGAUGGCAGCAACUGGGAAUAUUCGGCAAUGGGCGAAAGCCUGACCGAGCGACACCGCGUGAGGGAUGAAGUAUUUCGGUAUGUAAACCUCUUUUAUAUAGUCGUCGAGGCUAUAAGAAUAAGCACCUACAAACUACGU